Molecule: long non-coding RNA, 357 nt
Filed under: Solanum tuberosum (potato)
Lineage: Eukaryota; Viridiplantae; Streptophyta; Magnoliopsida; Solanales; Solanaceae
Description: long non-coding RNA (STUB_LNC007439)
Source: RNAcentral
UUCCGAACAGCUGUAUUUCGCCUUAGCCCUGUAUUUUUCAUUUCUUGACCUGUAUAUCGAUGUAUAUCUGUUGUAUAUCGUUGUAUAUUUGCCUUUUUCCACCUGCGUUUUUGGCCAAGAGCCCUAUUUCAGCUUCCAAACUUUGUAUAAAGGCUGACUCGAGAAAGCGGAGAUGUUUGGCGUCGGUGCGACUCAAAAAUGCACGUAAAGGGGUCCAAAUUGGACUCAAAUACACCUCACAUGCAAACAAAAAAGAUAAAGAUUAAUAAGCUAACAUAUGCUCUAUUAAAUUAAACACAAAGUAACAGUAGAGAGCUUAAGACUUAAAUAAUUAAGAAUUAUGUAUAUCAAGGGACA